AGAGUUUGAUCCUGGCUCAGGAUGAACGCUGGCGGUCUGCUUAACACAUGCAAGUCGAACGGAGUAGCAAUACUUAGUGGCGGACGGGUGAGUAACGCGUGUAGAAUCUACCUUCAGGACGGAGACAACAGUUGGAAACGACUGCUAACCCCCGAUGGACCGAAAGGGCAAAUAUUUAUAGCCUGAAGAAGAGCUCGCGUCCGAUUAGCUAGUUGGAGAGGUAAAAGCUCACCAAGGCGACGAUCGGUAGCUGGUCUGAGAGGACGAUCAGCCACACUGGGACUGAGACACGGCCCAGACUCCUACGGGAGGCAGCAGUGGGGAAUUUUCCGCAAUGGGCGAAAGCCUGACGGAGCAAUACCGCGUGAGGGAGGAAGGCUCUUGGGUCGUAAACCUCCUUUCUCAGGGAAGAAAAAAAUGACGGUACCUGAGGAAUAAGCAUCGGCUAACUCCGUGCCAGCAGCCGCGGUAAUGCGGAGGAUGCAAGCGUUAUCCGGAAUGAUUGGGCGUAAAGGGUCCGCAGGUGGCUAUGUAAGUCUGCUGUUAAAGAGUCAUGUUUAACAUGAUAAGAGCAGUGGAAACUACAUAGCUAGAGUGCGUUCGGGGCAGAGGGAAUUCCUGGUGUAGCGGUGAAAUGCGUAGAUAUCAGGAAGAACACCGGUGGCGAAGGCGCUCUGCUAGGCCGCAACUGACACUGAGGGACGGAAGCUAGGGGAGCGAAUGGGAUUAGAUACCCCAGUAGUCCUAGCCGUAAACGAUGGAUACUAGGCGUGGCUUGUAUCGACCGAGCCGUGCCGAAGC
Molecule: ribosomal RNA, 801 nt
Filed under: uncultured Antarctic cyanobacterium
Lineage: Bacteria; Bacillati; Cyanobacteriota
Description: bacterial SSU rRNA
Rfam family: Bacterial small subunit ribosomal RNA
Source: RNAcentral